GGCCCGUUAGCUCAGCUUGGUUAGAGCGUCGUGCUAAUAACGCGAAGGUCGCGGGUUCAUCCCCUACGGGCCG
RNAcentral lists this transfer RNA (73 nucleotides) under Trichonephila inaurata madagascariensis. It matches the Rfam family "tRNA". Rfam says of the family: Transfer RNA (tRNA) molecules are approximately 80 nucleotides in length. Their secondary structure includes four short double-helical elements and three loops (D, anti-codon, and T loops). Further hydrogen bonds mediate the characteristic L-shaped molecular structure. tRNAs have two regions of fundamental functional importance: the anti-codon, which is responsible for specific mRNA codon recognition, and the 3' end, to which the tRNAs corresponding amino acid is attached (by aminoacyl-tRNA synthetases). tRNAs cope with the degeneracy of the genetic code in two manners: having more than one tRNA (with a specific anti-codon) for a particular amino acid; and 'wobble' base-pairing, i.e. permitting non-standard base-pairing at the 3rd anti-codon position. The record is from Rfam by way of RNAcentral. Lineage: Eukaryota; Metazoa; Arthropoda; Arachnida; Araneae; Nephilidae.